RNAcentral lists this transfer RNA (72 nucleotides) under Phrynosoma platyrhinos (Desert horned lizard). RNAcentral's name for it is "tRNA-OTHER". The record is from RNAcentral. Lineage: Eukaryota; Metazoa; Chordata; Lepidosauria; Squamata; Phrynosomatidae.
GCCAGUAUGGCGUAGUGGUUUGAGUGUUGGUUUAUGACUCUGGAGAUCAGGGUUCAAUCCCCAGCUCAGCCA